AGGACGAACGCUGGCGGCGCGCUUAACACAUGCAAGUCGAGCGAGAACCUGGCCUUCGGGCCUGGGGAAAGCGGCGAACGGGUGAGUAACACGUGGGUAACCCACCCUUGGUACCGGGAUAGCCCGAGGAAACUCGGAUUAAUACCGGAUGGCCCAACAGCUCUUCGGGGCGGUUGGAAAAGGUAGCUUCGGCCUCCGACCAAGGACGGGCCCGCGGCGGAUUAGCUUGUUGGUGAGGUAACGGCCCACCAAGGCGACGAUCCGUAGCUGGUCUGAGAGGACGAUCAGCCACACUGGGACUGAGACACGGCCCAGACUCCUACGGGAGGCAGCAGUGGGGAAUCUUGCGCAAUGGGCGAAAGCCUGACGCAGCGACGCCGCGUGGGGGAAGAAGGCUUUCGGGUUGUAAACCCCUUUCAGGAAGGACGAAGCCACUCGGGUGAAUAGCCCAGAGGGUGACGGUACUUCCAGAAGAAGCCCCGGCUAACUACGCGCCAGCAGCCGC
Molecule: ribosomal RNA, 505 nt
Filed under: uncultured bacterium
Lineage: Bacteria
Description: SSU rRNA
Rfam family: Bacterial small subunit ribosomal RNA
Source: RNAcentral